UUGUAAACUCCUGUCAUUGGUGAACAAGGCCUGCGGUUAACUGCCGUUGGGUUUGAUAGUAGCCGAAGAGGAAGAGACGGCUAACUCUGUGC
Molecule: ribosomal RNA, 92 nt
Filed under: uncultured bacterium
Lineage: Bacteria
Description: partial 16S ribosomal RNA
Source: RNAcentral